Lentinula raphanica is the source of this 96-nucleotide non-coding RNA. The record is from the annotation of a GenBank genome assembly. Lineage: Eukaryota; Fungi; Basidiomycota; Agaricomycetes; Agaricales; Omphalotaceae.
GUUCACUUAGCUCAAUGGUUAGAGCGCUUGGGUUCUAUCCGCUUCGAUGCCCGCACGUCUACUCAAGUGAUGCGGGUUCGAAUCUCGCAGUGGACA